UACGAAGGGGGCUAGCGUUGUUCGGAAUUACUGGGCGUAAAGGGCGCGUAGGCGGUUCGAUAAGUCCCGUGUGAAAUCCCUCGGCUCAACUGAGGAACUGCACGGGAAACUGACGGGCUUGAGUUCGGGAGAGGGAAGCGGAAUUCCGGGUGUAGCGGUGAAAUGCGUAGAUAUCCGGAGGAACACCGGUGGCGAAGGCGGCUUCCUGGACCGACACUGACGCUGAGGCGCGAAAGCUAGGGGAGCAAACGGG
This 253-nucleotide ribosomal RNA is filed under the name uncultured bacterium. RNAcentral's name for it is "partial 16S ribosomal RNA". It matches the Rfam family "Bacterial small subunit ribosomal RNA", at positions 524 to 776 of the family's 1533-position model. The record is from RNAcentral.